This 215-nucleotide long non-coding RNA is filed under the name Olea europaea (common olive). Its description in RNAcentral is "long non-coding RNA (OEUR_LNC000390)". Lineage: Eukaryota; Viridiplantae; Streptophyta; Magnoliopsida; Lamiales; Oleaceae. The record is from RNAcentral.
UAAGGAGUCAAAAGCGGUCCAAGUUUCAACCUAGAGGCGGUGGACCAUUUCAUGUCAUAGCACUAAUUGGACACAAGGGAUAUAAUUUGGUUGAUCAAGAGAGGGGAUGAUGUGAUCCAAGGUAGGCUUCCAAGUUUCAAGGAAUUGACGCAUUUUGAUUGGGAGCCAAGGUCGAGAAUUGAGCUAAGUUUGGCACUAAUUUGGGAUAAUAAAGC